RNAcentral lists this ribosomal RNA (450 nucleotides) under uncultured bacterium. RNAcentral's name for it is "partial 16S ribosomal RNA". It matches the Rfam family "Bacterial small subunit ribosomal RNA", at positions 354 to 796 of the family's 1533-position model. The record is from RNAcentral.
GUAGGGAAUAUUGGACAAUGGGCGGAAGCCUGAUCCAGCCAUGCCGCGUGUGUGAAGAAGGUCUUCGGAUUGUAAAGCACUUUAAGUUGGGAGGAAGGGCAUUAACCUAAUACGUUAGUGUUUUGACGUUACCAACAGAAUAAGCACCGGCUAACUUCGUGCCAGCAGCCGCGGUAAUACGAAGGGUGCAAGCGUUAAUCGGAAUUACUGGGCGUAAAGCGCGCGUAGGUGGUUCAGCAAGUUGAAGGUGAAAUCCCCGGGCUCAACCUGGGAACUGCCUCCAAAACUGCAUGACUAGAGUACGGUAGAGGGUAGUGGAAUUUCCUGUGUAGCGGUGAAAUGCGUAGAUAUAGGAAGGAACACCAGUGGCGAAGGCGACUACCUGGACUGAUACUGACACUGAGGUGCGAAAGCGUGGGGAGCAAACAGGAUUAGAAACCCGAGUAGUCC